RNAcentral lists this unclassified non-coding RNA (313 nucleotides) under uncultured Tomentella. Its description in RNAcentral is "partial contains 5.8S ribosomal RNA, internal transcribed spacer 2, and large subunit ribosomal RNA". RNAcentral also lists the same sequence under 1 other name. The record is from RNAcentral. Lineage: Eukaryota; Fungi; Basidiomycota; Agaricomycetes; Thelephorales; Thelephoraceae.
AACGCACCUUGCGCCCUUUGGCUAUUCUGAAGGGCAUGCCUGUUUGAGUAUCAUGAACACCUCAACUCUCGCGGUUUGCCGUGAUGAGCUUGGACUUUGGGGGUCUUGCUGGCCUAUGGUCGGCUCCUCUCAAAUGGAUCAGCUUGCCAGUGUUUGGUGGCAUCGCAGGUGUGAUAACUAUCUACGCUUGUGGUCUCCCACCAGGUAACCCUCAGCGAUGGGGGUUCGCUGGAGCUCAUAAAUGUCUCUCCUCAGUGAGGACAGCUUUUGAACGUUUGAUCUCAAAUCAGGUAGGACUACCCGCUGAACUUAA